This 448-nucleotide long non-coding RNA is filed under the name Homo sapiens (human). RNAcentral's name for it is "HSALNT0329140". The record is from RNAcentral. Lineage: Eukaryota; Metazoa; Chordata; Mammalia; Primates; Hominidae.
UGGUUAAGCUGUUUGAAUGCUGCAGAACCUUGACUCACCACGUUUACUGGAGGAGCCACGAAUCCAUGAUGAGGAAGGCAAGUUGCCUUUACUCUCACAGUCAGACUCCCUGGAAAGCGGUUCUGAGACAGAGAUUGGCAUUCAAGGAGUGAAUGGGGGAGUGGCAGAGGGCUCCUUGUGUCAACCACUGAAGGGAAAUGAAGCCCUCAGCACUGACUAGUCAUUGGCUGUGGACUGCCCCAGGAAGGAGGUAAGAUGUCAUACCCGCAGCUCUCUUCAGCUGAGGGUGAAACUUGGAAGGAAGGAUUCGCCUGUGAGCCAUCAACUGUCAGCAUUCCCAGAAGCUGAGAAUGAUGGAAUUGACUCUCCUGAACUCAUGCACAGAAGAAAAAAUAAAAUACCAUCAAUUAUUUUGUGUUACUAGCCUUGUCACGAUAACUAUUUUUUU